This 492-nucleotide ribosomal RNA is filed under the name uncultured bacterium. RNAcentral describes it as "partial 16S ribosomal RNA". It matches the Rfam family "Bacterial small subunit ribosomal RNA", at positions 29 to 507 of the family's 1533-position model. The record is from RNAcentral.
AGUGAACGCUGGCGGUAGGCCUAACACAUGCAAGUCGAACGGCAGCACAGUAAGAGCUUGCUCUUACGGGUGGCGAGUGGCGGACGGGUGAGGAAUACAUCGGAAUCUACUUUUUCGUGGGGGAUAACGUAGCGAAACUUACGCUAAUACCGCAUACGACCUACGGGUGAAAGCAGGGGAUCUUCGGACCUUGCGCGAUUGAAUGAGCCGAUGUCGGAUUAGCUAGUUGGCGGGGUAAAGGCCCACCAAGGCGACGAUCCGUAGCUGGUCUGAGAGGAUGAUCAGCCACACUGGAACUGAGACACGGUCCAGACUCCUACGGGAGGCAGCAGUGGGGAAUAUUGGACAAUGGGCGCAAGCCUGAUCCAGCCAUGCCGCGUGGGUGAAGAAGGCCUUCGGGUUGUAAAGCCCUUUUGUUGGGAAAGAAAAGCAGCAGGUUAAUACCCCGCUGUUCUGACGGUACCCAAAGAAUAAGCACCGGCUAACUUCGUG